This 490-nucleotide ribosomal RNA is filed under the name uncultured bacterium. RNAcentral describes it as "partial 16S ribosomal RNA". It matches the Rfam family "Bacterial small subunit ribosomal RNA", at positions 30 to 507 of the family's 1533-position model. The record is from RNAcentral.
AUUGAACGCUGGCGGCAUGCCUUACACAUGCAAGUCGAACGGCAGCAUGAUCUAGCUUGCUAGAUUGAUGGCGAGUGGCGAACGGGUGAGUAAUACAUCGGAACGUGCCCUGUAGUGGGGGAUAACUAGUCGAAAGAUUAGCUAAAACCGCAUACGUCCUGAGGGUGAAAGUGGGGGACCGCAAGGCCUCAUGCUAUAGGAGCGGCCGAUGUCUGAAUAGCUAGUUGGUGAGGUAAAGGCUCACCAAGGCGACGAUCAGUAGCUGGUCCGAGAGGGCGAUAAGCCACACUGGGACUGAGACACGGCCCAGACUCCUACGGGAGGCAGCAGUGGGGAAUUUUGGGCAAUGGGCGAAAGCCUGAUCCAGCAAUGCCGCGUGUGUGAAGAAGGCCUUCGGGUUGUAAAGCACUUUUGUCCGGAAAGAAAUGGCUCUGGUUAAUACCUGGGGUCGAUGACGGUACCGGAAGAAUAAGGACCGGCUAACUACGUG